This 292-nucleotide ribosomal RNA is filed under the name uncultured bacterium. Its description in RNAcentral is "partial 16S ribosomal RNA". It matches the Rfam family "Bacterial small subunit ribosomal RNA", at positions 505 to 796 of the family's 1533-position model. The record is from RNAcentral.
GUGUCAGCAGCCGCGGUAAUACGUAGGGGGCAAGCGUUGUCCGGAAUCAUUGGGCGUAAAGCGCGUGUAGGCGGCUCGACAAGUCUGCUGUGAAAGUCCGGGGCUCAACCCUGGGAUGCCGGUGGAAACUGUCGGGCUCGAGUCCGGAAGAGGCGAGUGGAAUUCCUGGUGUAGCGGUGAAAUGCGCAGAUAUCAGGAGGAACACCUAUGGCGAAGGCAGCUCGCUGGGACGUGACUGACGCUGAUACGCGAAAGCGUGGGGAGCAAACAGGAUUAGAUACCCUGGUAGUCC